This is a small nuclear RNA of Hyaena hyaena (striped hyena), 104 nucleotides long. The record is from RefSeq and is a predicted model, not a curated record. NCBI's taxonomy places the organism in Eukaryota, Metazoa, Chordata, Mammalia, Carnivora, Hyaenidae.
GUGCUUGCUUCGGCAGCAUGUAUGCUAAAAUUGGAACAAUAAAGAGAAGGAAGGUCAGCAUGGCCCCCACACAAAGAUGGUGCACAAAUAUUUUCCAGCUUUAU